Molecule: ribosomal RNA, 255 nt
Filed under: Salmonella enterica
Lineage: Bacteria; Pseudomonadati; Pseudomonadota; Gammaproteobacteria; Enterobacterales; Enterobacteriaceae
Also listed under: 2 other names
Description: partial 23S ribosomal RNA
Rfam family: Bacterial large subunit ribosomal RNA
Source: RNAcentral
UAUCACUUAAAGCGAUUCAGCGGGUUACGAUUGACGGAGCGAAGCGACGUCAAAGCGUAUACAAAGUCGAGUCGGUUUAAGGAUACGUUCGUUGGGUAGGGGAGCGUUCUGUAAGCCUGUGAAGGUGGCCUGUGAGGGUUGCUGGAGGUAUCAGAAGUGCGAAUGCUGACAUAAGUAACGAUAAAGCGGGUGAAAAGCCCGCUCGCCGGAAGACCAAGGGUUCCUGUCCAACGUUAAUCGGGGCAGGGUGAGUCG